GGAGACGUCUGGGGAAUUAGUGGCCACGUGAUACUGAUGGUUUCCAAGACAGAUGGAGGGUAUGCCUGCCUCUGAGCUUCUUAGAACAUCUCAUUCUCGUUGGCCCUGUUGGGAUCAAUACUAUUGCAACUGUACUCAUCAUGCCUAAGCCAGGUUUGGAACUGAGCAGAAAAGGCCACUGAACAAAAGGAAGAGUACCUCACCGUCUUACAUGACCCCUCCAUCACCUUUGUUUGAAAGGGAAGUCUAGCUAGAGGGCCAGUGGGGCAGACAGAUUUCCGGCUCUGCCACAUAUUUCCAACAUUACUUACUGCCAUGACUUAUCAUCUGCAACUUGACAUGUUCUACACAUAUGGGCAUGUUGUACACAUUAAGACAUGCUUCCUGCAUUAGGAGAUUUUCCCGGAUCGAGGAUAUUUUCCUGGUGCAGAAUUGGAGACUGAAUUGAUUGACCUCAACAUCUAUGGGUCUAGAGUAGGAGGUUGGGAAAGUUUUCUUCCCUUUAGGGGUCUGCCCCUGUUCUAAGGAACAGCAGGAUUUAUAAUGAGGGCUCAGUCUGACCCAGGACAUGCUGCAAGGAGAGCCUGCCAUCCCUGCAGUGGCUGGUUGUUGACUCCCUGAUUGGCCCGGGCCUUAAGCCUGCCUUCUCCUUCCCUUCCCACAUGGGCAGAGGCUGUGGGCUGUAGCUGACGGCUCACCUGGAACGCCUCCGGUUGCUGAAGGGCUGGAUGGAGACUCUGAGACAACCUGAUGGAUCAUCUCAUAAACAGAGCCUGCAGGAAGGAAAAGAAAAUUAUGCCAGCAGAAUGCACUUAUGAGAAAUAGAUAUGUGCGGUGCAGGGAGAAAUGCUUUGAUAUUAAAAUUUUUGUAACUUAAAAAGGCAUGAAAAAUGAUACCAACCACUAACUAAUCAACAUUCCUUUGCGAAUGCAGCUUCAGUUCCUAACCAAAAACACAUCCCUGCUAUUGUCUUGUCUGGAUCCAGAUGCAAACAUGAUUAAUUAAGUUUCGGGCGAGGAGUGGGAGGGGGAUGGUCAGGAGGGACGGCUUGCUGAGGAUCAUUUUUAUGCACAAGCCCUAGGAGAAGCCCCAAGGCUGAGUGCCUUGCCCCAUGUGGCAGGGCUUGCCUUUUGUGCACCGACAGCCGCAAGGGUGCCAUGAGAAGGCGGCACCCAGUCCUACAGGGUCUCCUUAGGGCCAGAGAAGUUCUGCGGGCAGUGAGAAGCUCUUGGUCGGAUCCAUGCCACUGCCCAGCACUGAAAUGUCUUGUAGGAUGGCCUGGGCUCCACUUCUCACACUUCACCAAGUAGUUUGGGACCAUGAGCAAGUUGCCUUGGUUUCUGCAUUUGUGAAAUGAAGGGCCAGAUCAAAUAUUCCUUAAAGUCUCUUCCUUUUCUGGCAUUAUAUCUGGUGCUUGAGGUCCCUCACUCAUAGCAGGUGUUUAUUAGCAAAAAGUCUAUUUAGGCAAAAAAGUCUGCUGAUGGGAGGGCUGAGAAGUGUCUUUGAUGGGUGUCUCUGGUGUAGAUGGCCGGGCUGCAGAGACUCAGGCUGUCUGGCAGAGGCCAGCAGACUUGCUUUCUGAUCACUACUCUACCACACAGAGCCUAGUAACAGUGAGUGAGACACCUGAUUGCCCUGCAUCUCAGCCUCCCCAUUAGAAAACGGAAACACCAGUCCCAACUUUCACUGGGAUAUCUAUGAAGCAGAGUGAAGCUAGCUGGUCUGAGAGGACAGUGACAUGGUGCACAGUCUCUAUGUACCUUCUCCAGGAGCCUGCUCCCCAUGGCAGCUAUAGGUCGAUAUACACUGUAAUUAAGUGAUUAAGGAGGUGAGAUCUAGAAUGAGAUUGUCUACAUCUAGGCAACCUUCCCCCGAAUCUUAACCAUUAGGCAAAUUAUAAACCUCCUUUGGGCCACAUUGACCUCAUCUAUAAAAGUGGGCUGACCAGCAGAGCACACAUUCCCUGCAUGGUGAGCAGGAGCAGGCUUGUGAAUGAGGGAAGGCAGUUUUAUAAGGCCUGCUGGCCCUGGAGGUGGUGCUGCUGCCAAGUGUAACACCAAAAACUCAUCAGACUUUAAGGCCCUAGUGUGGAGAUCUCAGCCAGAGCCAAGGCUAGCGUUUAGUGAGCUAUUUUAUUGGGAGUUUUAUUGCCUCCUUCCAAGGCCAACUGAUUCCACUAGUAUUUACCCCUUGUUGAUGUUAGCUGGGAAUGAUCAAUUUUUUAGAUUACUAGCCACACCCUGUCAAACAUUAGAAUGACAAAUUGCCCAAUUCAAGUUCUACAAUUCUUCUCAAUUACAGGGGAGGGAAGAUGGCUUUCACAUGUGUGUGAUUUUGUCCCUGGGAGCAUCUAUGAAAUAUGCAGCAUUCUCUUACCUAGAUGAGAACUCACCUUCAAAAUAUCAUCUCUAAUCUAUCUUCAUGUUUUCAAGUGGGAGUUUUUUAUUCCCAUUUCCCAGAUGGAAUAACUGAGAGCAGAGGCUGGAGAGAGCUUGCUCAGGGACCCAGAAGCACAGGAGUUGAUGGUGGGGCUGAAGAUGAAUUCUAAUUUCCUGCUUCACAAUCCCUUGUAACCCAGGAAUGACCUUUCUGGGGAAUAUUAGAAACACGAAUAUAUGAAAUGGAGAAGUUAGAUUGCAGUCCCCUGGACCAUGUCCAGGACACUAAAAUGAGUGUCCUGCUCCUAUUAAAUGUAUUCUAAAAAUUAUUUGCUAUUCUGAAUGUAAUUUGAAGUGAAGUAGGUCUUCCAUGGAGGCUCCAAGAGGAUCCCAGCCCCAUGCACAAUGACUCUCAGUUGAUAUCAAGAAAGUUUUAAUCCCUGCCAUGUGCAGGGGUAGAAGUUUUAUAAAAGAACUGAGAUGAGAAGAAAUUUCACUUAGAGAAACAGCAUGAGGAUGGCUACAGAGAUAACAUUUCAGCUCCUAAUCUGAGUAUGAACCAGCCCUGCAUGUGUGCCCCACACUUCAGCUGAUCUCUCAGGAAACCUAAAAGCUGCAGUGCUACCUGCAGCAGCUGCCGGGGCCUCCUAUCCUCAUCCUAGAGCUGCUCCUACUCCUCUCCAAUUUCAAAUAAGCUCCUCGUUUCAGGAUGCUUCUCCUUCCCUGGGACCUGGCACUGGUAUUUGUGGUGUUGUUUCCCUACUUUUUUUCCUAAAGGCAUUGGGUAUAGACUUUACCCCUGGCACAUACAUGCUUUCUCUCUCUCUCUCUUUCCCUCUCUUUCUCUCUCUCAGGAAUCUGUGUCUUCAUUUCCCUCUUUCAUGACCAUGCGCCAGCACUGAGACCCUUGCCUGGGUGCCCAGAACUUGGACUUGAGGGAUGUAAGGGGCAGGAGAGGGACUCCCAGGCUCUAGAGUGCAGAGUUCUGAUAUGAGAGUGACUUUCUUUUGGACUCAAGAGACUUUGUAGAACUGGCUCCAGACCUCAAGCUGAGCUCUUGAUUAUCUCCCAGACUCAAGGUCUCACUAGUCCUUGAGUAUCUCUGAGAUCCCCAGUGUUUCCCUGGGGGUAACUGUGCUCCCACUUUGUCCAGGUCUGUGUCUGCAGAGGCGUAGAGGCUCCCAGCCCCUGGGAGAAUCCCGUUCCCUCUCACCAGCCACUGCCUGAAGUGUAGAUGCUUAAUUUCUCUGGGGCUGCAUUUUGAGGGUGGUAAAUCAGAAAUACUUUCCACACGUGGGCAUACUGAGAAUUAAGCCAUGUGCUAAAGACUUUCCCACACUUUCUUUAAAGAUCACACAAAACUUGUGAGUUAGGUACAUUUCCUACUUUACGAAUGAGAAAACUGGGUGGCUCAGGGAGGUUAUGGAAAAACACAACUCAUGUAACUACUAAGUGAUGGGAUGACAACUGAAAGACUAGCAUGAAAGCCCAAGUGGGUCUGACCUAGGAGUUACAUAUCAUUCAGAAAUAAGAAUGAUGUUGUUGCUGUUUUCAAAGAAUUUGUAACUUACCAGAGAGGAUAAGAGAACUGGUUGGAUA
This 3978-nucleotide long non-coding RNA is filed under the name Canis lupus familiaris (dog). RNAcentral's name for it is "lncRNA (ENSCAFG00805029259.1, ENSCAFG00845006244.1)". Lineage: Eukaryota; Metazoa; Chordata; Mammalia; Carnivora; Canidae. The record is from RNAcentral.